This is a long non-coding RNA of Neodiprion fabricii, 1102 nucleotides long. RefSeq lists it as uncharacterized. The transcript has 4 exons. Lineage: Eukaryota; Metazoa; Arthropoda; Insecta; Hymenoptera; Diprionidae. The record is from RefSeq and is a predicted model, not a curated record.
UUUCAAUUAACGUACCCGAAUGCACUUACAUAAGUGACUUACACAAUAUUGCUAUCGUUGUCCAAUACUAAAAAUGGAUGAUACCUCGAAGGUUCACAACUUCGCUUGAACAUUUCAUGAACGAGAUCAGUCUGCACAGAGAGUUCCGAGAAAAAUUCCGUCACUGCUGCGUAAUGCGAUUCACGAAUCAAAAGGCUGUAUAAUGAGAAAGAAGCUGCAUGUGCGAUGAUUAAGCCGACGCGACGUUAUCGGCCAAAGUUGUCUGAAGGUGAAAAAACCGGUCUGUAUAAUGGUGCGACCACUUUUGAUUUUUUCGAUGAAAUAAAACGUAAAUAAUUAUAUUAAAAAUGUCAUCCUAUAUAACAUAUCCGCUUUGCGCGUCUUUGAAAAGCCUUCAAGAUAUUGGACGUUGCUGGAACUCUGUGAUACAAGACGUGAGAUCCGCUGGAGAUGUAGUGAAGAAAAUUUGAAUACGGCAUCAAAGGAUUUUCCGUUUCUCGAUUAUUACGCAUUGAUAAUCAUAUAAGGUGUAAACUCGUCUUCGCGGCAACCCCGGCUGUAAUUGAGGAAAACGUGGUUAUUCUUGGCUGCCUUUUGUAUAAAAGGAAUUAAACAACUUUGGGAUCGUUUCAGUUUGAAACCAGUUCCAAGAGACGACAACAGCUGAAAUACUGUACUUAUUUUAAUUAUUAUCAUUCACUAUAUCAUAACAGGAAAGGCCCGUACACGAUGUUACUUAUACUUGUACAUAAUAUAUAUGUAUUCAUUUCGUGCCUAAAUUUCGUGUUUCAGUAGCAACGGCAGAUGAAUGUGAGAACUAUUUCCAGUUUCAUCAGAUAAACUAUGUUUCUUACAACUAUUUACACUUAAAAAUAUUUUAAUAUAAGAUUUUCUACGCAAAACAUAUCGUAUAUACGCAUCAGUUAACAAGACAUUACUCUUACGCCUUGUGUAACAAGAAGUGUAUGCCAUUAUAGCAGUCGCAUUACCAGAUACAACAAUAAGUAAAUACAGAUGGAAAUAACGAGGCAAGAUAUGCACUAUCGGUUAAGAUACUUGAAAACAAGGAAAAGCUGUCCGCGUUCAUUUUUCUCCAAUAAAA